GGCCAGAUAGCACAAGUGGUAGUGCACCAGAGACAGGUGUCUGAAACCGCAAGUCGUUCAUCUGGGGGUCCUUGUUCGAUUCGAGGUCAGGCCG
Non-coding RNA from Mycena vulgaris, 94 nucleotides. NCBI's taxonomy places the organism in Eukaryota, Fungi, Basidiomycota, Agaricomycetes, Agaricales, Mycenaceae. The record is from the annotation of a GenBank genome assembly.